UACUGUUCACUCUGCAGGUCCUGCUCAUGUUAGACCUCCGAAAUGCAACACCAACACAUUUCUCUGUAGU
Molecule: long non-coding RNA, 70 nt
Organism: Amblyraja radiata (thorny skate)
Lineage: Eukaryota; Metazoa; Chordata; Chondrichthyes; Rajiformes; Rajidae
Exons: 3
Source: RefSeq, a predicted model, not a curated record